GGACUGCGUGUUUGCUCGUUUUGUCCCGGAGCUAUGCCACGCUGGGGUCCCGACUGCCCUGACCCGUUUUGGACUGCUGCUGCUUUGUGUGGGGAUAAAACCCACACUUUUUACGGACCUUGCCUGCUGCUGCGUUCGGGUGUGGAAAUCCCGUUGUCCGCAUUUUUAUGCCUAUUGUAUUAUGUUUUCAUGUUUAGCUGCCUGAAAUAGGAGGUGGAUGGCAAGGGAGAUUUUUCUUUAUUAUUUUUGUAGCUAUUUUUGAUUAUUUGAUGGUUUAGUUCUUUGAGUUCAAACUGUAACCUGUUUUGAUAUUUUCCUUUCUUUUUGAUUUGUAUUGGAUCUCUAUUGUUGUUGAAUUUAUUUUCAGUCUCCCAUUAACUGCCCAUCUUUGUGAUUCCAGGUGCUGAGGGCCUCACUGGUGAUCCUGUUUGGUGAUGGUGUCCCUUCGUGUGUAGUGUCUUAUUCACUCCCCUCCUUUGUUUUGCUUUGCCCUUGUGUGUUUGGAGUGUUAAUUUUGGAUUGUGGUGCUCCCAUUUUAAGUUUAUACUUUCACCCCUCACUCACCUUGAGCACAAAUGCCCCAGCCCUGGAAUACAUGAUAAUUUAUACAAAUAGGAUAAUUUUUUUAGAUUUGAAUUGUGCCCAAUAAACUGUUGUAUAUGCUUUUGGAAACACGUCUCUCGCCUGCUCAGUGUAACGAACUUGUGUUGUCCUUUUGUUUAGAUUUAGUAAUUUACCUUAUUCAUAGAUUUCUUUCUUUUCCCUGGGUGAUUUCUCCCAGGGUGGCGUUGCUGGUUUCCUUUAGUUUCUUUCUUUUUCCCCUAGUUAAAAACAUAGAUUAUUGGGGUAGUUCCUACCCCACCUCACGCUUGCCACAAACUUGGCGUUGCUGGCAGGACUUAUACUGAAAAAAAAAGGCAGAGACGUGUGUUCCUUUGUUUUUUUGUUGUUUGUUUUUUUGUUUUUCUGAAUAAGACAAAGCAGCAGCAGUCCCCUGGCAACCAUGGAGGAAGAAAUGCAAGAGUUGCGAGCUCUGGUUGCGCAGUUAAAGGCUGACAAUGAGAGGUUGCGUCAAGCUUCGUUGGUGCCGCCCUCUAGUGCUACACCUUCAACCUCCUCAGUACUGCCGACUGCCCUUACUUCUGCCAGUGCCCCUGCAGCCGAGAGGCCCCACAACCUGUCACGCAGGCAUUACAGGAGUACCAUCAGGUGACCACGCAGACCUCCCAGGAGCUGUCUGGGAAGGCAAAGGUCAGAGGUGCUGAGGGCCUCACUGGUGAUCCUGUUUGGUGAUGGUGUCCCUUCGUGUGUAGUGUCUUAUUCACUCCCCUCCUUUGUUUUGCUUUGCCCUUGUGUGUUUGGAGUGUUAAUUUUGGAUUGUGGUGCUCCCAUUUUAAGUUUAUACUUUCACCCCUCACUCACCUUGAGCACAAAUGCCCCAGCCCUGGAAUACAUGAUAAUUUAUACAAAUAGGAUAAUUUUUUUAGAUUUGAAUUGUGCCCAAUAAACUGUUGUAUAUGCUUUUGGAAACACGUCUCUCGCCUGCUCAGUGUAACGAACUUGUGUUGUCCUUUUGUUUAGAUUUAGUAAUUUACCUUAUUCAUAGAUUUCUUUCUUUUCCCUGGGUGAUUUCUCCCAGGGUGGCGUUGCUGGUUUCCUUUAGUUUCUUUCUUUUUCCCCUAGUUAAAAACAUAGAUUAUUGGGGUAGUUCCUACCCCACCUCACGCUUGCCACAUCU
Long non-coding RNA from Gasterosteus aculeatus aculeatus (three-spined stickleback), 1738 nucleotides. The record is from Ensembl. Lineage: Eukaryota; Metazoa; Chordata; Actinopteri; Perciformes; Gasterosteidae.